RNAcentral lists this ribosomal RNA (253 nucleotides) under uncultured bacterium. RNAcentral's name for it is "partial 16S ribosomal RNA". It matches the Rfam family "Bacterial small subunit ribosomal RNA", at positions 524 to 776 of the family's 1533-position model. The record is from RNAcentral.
UACGAAGGGUGCAAGCGUUGUUCGGAAUUACUGGGCGUAAAGCGCGCGUAGGCGGGUCAGUAAGUCGAUUGUGAAAUCCCUGGGCUUAACCUGGGAACUGCAGUCGAAACUACUGAUCUUGAAUGUCUGAGAGGAUGGCGGAAUUCCCGGUGUAGUAGUGAAAUACGUAGAUAUCGGGAAGAACACCUGAGGCGAAGGCGGCUAUCUGGCGGUACAUUGACGCUGAUGCGCGAAAGCGUGGGGAGCAAACAGG